Molecule: transfer RNA, 74 nt
Filed under: Candidatus Planktophila sp.
Lineage: Bacteria; Bacillati; Actinomycetota; Actinomycetes; Candidatus Nanopelagicales; Candidatus Nanopelagicaceae
Description: tRNA-Arg
Rfam family: tRNA
About the family: Transfer RNA (tRNA) molecules are approximately 80 nucleotides in length. Their secondary structure includes four short double-helical elements and three loops (D, anti-codon, and T loops).
Source: RNAcentral
GGUCCUGUAGCUCAAUGGAUAGAGCGCCGAUACGACGAAUUUGGAGGUUGUGGGUUCGAGUCCCACCAGGUCCA